RNAcentral lists this long non-coding RNA (241 nucleotides) under Mytilus galloprovincialis (Mediterranean mussel). The record is from RNAcentral. Lineage: Eukaryota; Metazoa; Mollusca; Bivalvia; Mytilida; Mytilidae.
CCCUUUUUAACACAAUAAGUUCUUUGAAAAUUUAAUACUUUGAACACAUUCAAUAGCUCCAUAGUUUUUACACAUUUAUUCUAUGUUCCUCUACUUUCCUAAUCACCACAAAUAAUUAAGUUCAGUCAUUUGCUAAAAAUAGAAACAUGUCCAAUAUCACUACACAGAGAUUUUUUCUUUACACGUGACUUUUGAGUUCCUCAUUUCAAGGCGCAUUAGGGAUGUUGUCCCAUAUGUCUUA